UUAAAAGCAUUGAUGGGAACCCGUACGAAACGUCGACGAUUAAGCGAGCCGGUGGUUGGUGCAAGACCGGUAUCAAGACCUUCAAGCAAAUCAUCCCAGAGCGUGGUACUGAAGCGAGUAAGGACCACCGGUUCAUGACCGUUACCAAAUGACAAAGCAAAAGGAGCAGUCCUUUUGAAAUUUGGGUGGUACCACGAGUGCGUCUCGUCCCUUUG
This 215-nucleotide non-coding RNA is filed under the name Limosilactobacillus fermentum. RNAcentral describes it as "Lactobacillus fermentum T-box sequence". It matches the Rfam family "T-box leader". Rfam says of the family: Uncharged tRNA acts as the effector for transcription antitermination of genes in the T-box leader family. T-boxes are found upstream of many aminoacyl-tRNA synthetase genes and some amino acid biosynthetic genes usually in Gram-positive bacteria. Lineage: Bacteria; Bacillati; Bacillota; Bacilli; Lactobacillales; Lactobacillaceae. The record is from RNAcentral.